Molecule: long non-coding RNA, 432 nt
Filed under: Polistes fuscatus (common paper wasp)
Lineage: Eukaryota; Metazoa; Arthropoda; Insecta; Hymenoptera; Vespidae
Description: uncharacterized LOC122520165
Source: RNAcentral
AAGGAAAAUAAUCAAUUCUAGAAUACGUGAUAUUUUGUUAAAAAGUACGAGAAUUGUAGUUCUCCGAGAUAGUAAACUUUGCCAUGACUCUUUAUUCGCGACCUAGAGAUGGCAUGUUUAAUGUACGAAGGAACGAACGUAAUGACGAACUAUAUGCGUAGUGCACAUUAAUUCAGAAACGCGAUGCAACGUUGAGAGGCAUCUCUCUUGUGAUUUGUUUCCACCUAACGAAUCAUACUUCAAAUGCAUAGUUUCGGAUUUAACCAACGAUCCCACGAAUUAAGUUCGCGACGUAUCUGCCAUAAGCGAAUUAAACAGCCAUAAUCUUAUUGACCAAUUUAAUGCUUUGAUGAUCGAGUUAUCUGCACGGACGAAUUCAGUUCGAGUAAAGGAAAAGACUCGAAAGGGAAUAAGUGGCUGUAAAAGGGAAAA